UGGGGGAUAUUGGACAAUGGGGGGAACCCUGAUCCAGCGACGCCGCGUGAGUGAAGAAGUAUUUCGGUAUGUAAAGCUCUGUCAGCAGGGAAGAAGGAAAUGACGGUACCUGACCAAGAAGCCCCGGCUAACUACGUGCCAGCAGCCGCGGUAAUACGUAGGGGGCAAGCGUUAUCCGGAAUUACUGGGUGUAAAGGGAGCGCAGACGGCAAAGCAAGCCUGGAGUGAAAGGCGGGGGCCCAACCCCCGGACUGCUCUGGGAACUGCUUGGCUGGAGUGCAGGAGAGGCAGGCGGAAUUCCUAGUGUAGCGGUGAAAUGCGUAGAUAUUAGGAGGAACACCAGUGGCGAAGGCGGCCUGCUGGACUGUAACUGACGUUGAGGCUCGAAAGCGUGGGGAGCAAACAGG
This 407-nucleotide ribosomal RNA is filed under the name uncultured bacterium. Its description in RNAcentral is "bacterial SSU rRNA". It matches the Rfam family "Bacterial small subunit ribosomal RNA", at positions 355 to 776 of the family's 1533-position model. The record is from RNAcentral.